UNUGAAGUUAAAGGCAGUGGCUCAACCAUUGUAGGCUUUGGAAACUGUUUAACUUGAGUGCAGAAGGGGAGAGUGGAAUUCCAUGUGUAGCGGUGAAAUGCGUAGAUAUAUGGAGGAACACCGGUGGCGAAAGCGGCUCUCUGGUCUGUAACUGUCGCUGAGGCUCGAAAGCGUGGGGAGCGAACAGGAUUAGAUACCCUGGUAGUNCACGCCGUAAACGAUGAGUGCUAGGUGUUAGGUCCUUUCCGGGACUUAGUGCCGCAGCUAACGCAUUAAGCACUCCGCCUGGGGAGUACGACCGCAAGGUUGAAACUCAAAGGAAUUGACGGGGGCCCGCACAAGCGGUGGAGCAUGUGGUUUAAUUCGAAGCAACGCGAAGAACCUUACCAGGUCUUGACAUCCCGAUGCCCGCUCUAGAGAUAGAGCUUUACUUCGGUACAUCGGUGACAGGUGGUGCAUGGUUGUCGUCAGCUCGUGUCGUGAGAUGUUGGGUUAAGUCCCGCAACGAGCGCAACCCUUAUUGUUAGUUGCCAUCAUUCAGUUGGGCACUCUAGCGAGACUGCCGGUAAUAAACCGGAGGAAGGUGGGGAUGACGUCAAAUCAUCAUGCCCCUUAUGACCUGGGCUACACACGUGCUACAAUGGCUGGUACAACGAGUCGCAAGCCGGUGACGGCAAGCUAAUCUCUGAAAGCCAGUCUCAGUUCGGAUUGUAGGCUGCAACUCGCCUACAUGAAGUCGGAAUCGCUAGUAAUCGCGGAUCAGCACGCCGCGGUGAAUACGUUCCCGGGCCUUGUACACACCGCCCGUCACACCACGAGAGUUUGUAACACCCGAAGUCGGU
Molecule: ribosomal RNA, 842 nt
Filed under: uncultured bacterium
Lineage: Bacteria
Description: bacterial SSU rRNA
Rfam family: Bacterial small subunit ribosomal RNA
Source: RNAcentral